GGCGCAGGGAGGCACGGGGUUCUCCAUGGGAACGCUUGCUCUGGCCGCCGCCGCAGCCGGACCCCCGCUCAGCAGCCCACCAUGACCGCGCCCUGACUCAGCCUGCUCAAGGUCGACUGUUCCUCUGGGGCCCUAGCUGCACGGACUUUUCCUGGCCCGAGAUCAAAUUUCACUUUUGUGUGCACAGUUCCUCUGGCUCACACACGGCUCCCCUCUCCCGCAAGGAGGAGUGUGUCGGUCCUGUGUGCACUCUCAGCUGAACUUCUGGAGGGCAGGCACGUCAGCGUUGGCUAGCCCAGUGCCAGGGUCUCAGUGGCUGCUUCUCCAGGCCGGUGCACGGAUGCUUCCCUGCAGAAAUGUAACGGUAACCUCCAUGGCACAUUCCCUGUAUGCAAGGCAGUGUCCAGACGCAUGGAAAUGCCGGGUUAGGAAAUGCUGAGUGAGCUGAAGCCUGGCCUGCGGGGUGUGUGGGUCGUGGAGGAGGCCAGCAGGACCAACACGCUCUGUGUUUACUCAGCUGUGGCCCAGCCCCGCUGCGAUGCCAUCCGAACUGUCCCGAGCCGCCAUGCCCAGCAAGGUGGCCGUGAACGCUAGCGCACAGCGAGGGAGGGCGGCGACGCGCUGGAACGCUGGGAGUAGCCUAUACAGCAAAGCUCAUGGCAUCGUCCCAAGGACGCAGCGGUGCUUUCUCAGUCGGCGAGGAGAUUUCCAGCAGAGGUGGUUUGACUCCGUCCCACUGACGCCUCUUCACCAGGCGCCCCGUGCGCCCCGGCUGGGAUUAGAGCCAGUCACGCCAGCCUCCCUGCGAUGGAGCCGAGACAGCCCCUCCCAGCUCAGCCACACGACCAGCCCUACGCCCAGCAACCAGGUUUGCUCCAGGCAGAGUCCAGCACAUAGCUGGCCUUCCCCGUGCCUCGUUCAGCAGUGCACGGCCUCAGGUCGGCUCUCUGCCUGCAGUGACACAGCAGCCUUCGAGCUGAACAGAAGGAGAAAGGGCCCUGCCUCAGUGGAUCAGGGAGCAGAAGUCAAAGGAAAGCUUGUCUUCAGCAGAACAAAAGGAAGCCAACACACAGAGCAAAACCUAGGAGCUGGAUCAAGCCAUGCUUACAGCCAGCUUCACCCUGGGGCUUCUGAGGUAUGUGAGCUAAUAAAUUCCAUUUGUAACGUAAGCUAACUUGUGUGGGAUUCCCAUCCCUGGAAACU
Molecule: long non-coding RNA, 1203 nt
Filed under: Ursus maritimus (polar bear)
Lineage: Eukaryota; Metazoa; Chordata; Mammalia; Carnivora; Ursidae
Description: lncRNA (ENSUMAG00000023223.1)
Source: RNAcentral